CAGCAGUGGGGAAUAUUGCACAAUGGGCGCAAGCCUGAUGCAGCUGAAAGCGUGAGUGAAGAAGGCCUUCGGGUUGUAAAGAACUUUCAGCGGGGAGGAAGGGAGUAAAGUUAAUACCUUUUUGUUAACGUGUACCCGUGGAAAACACCACAAGCACCGGCUAACUCCGUG
RNAcentral lists this ribosomal RNA (171 nucleotides) under uncultured bacterium. RNAcentral's name for it is "partial 16S ribosomal RNA". It matches the Rfam family "Bacterial small subunit ribosomal RNA", at positions 349 to 507 of the family's 1533-position model. The record is from RNAcentral.